UCUUAUUAAAUAAUUUAGUUAACAUAUAUUCACAUUGGAAAGCUUCUACUUAAUGAUUAAUGUUCAAUUGGCUAACUAUCUACAUCAAGUAUAUGAAAAAGCUUCCUUUAUUUUUGAUCAUAAGCUUCCUUUAUUUUUUAUCACUUCUCUUGCUCGCAUUUGUGGUUUGCAUCUUGUUCAUUUUUCCCCUUGAUGUCUUUGUCUAAUCACCCCCCUCAUUUGGAACAGAAAGGUGAAGGGAAGACCAAUG
Molecule: unclassified non-coding RNA, 250 nt
Filed under: Hevea brasiliensis (rubber tree)
Lineage: Eukaryota; Viridiplantae; Streptophyta; Magnoliopsida; Malpighiales; Euphorbiaceae
Source: RNAcentral